Molecule: ribosomal RNA, 604 nt
Filed under: uncultured Bacilli bacterium
Lineage: Bacteria; Bacillati; Bacillota; Bacilli
Description: bacterial SSU rRNA
Rfam family: Bacterial small subunit ribosomal RNA
Source: RNAcentral
UAAUACAUGCAAGUAGAACGCUGAAGACUUAGCUUGCUAAAGUUGGAAGAGUUGCGAACGGGUGAGUAACGCGUAGGUAACCUGCCUACUAGCGGGGGAUAACUAUUGGAAACGAUAGCUAAUACCGCAUAACAGCAUUUAACCCAUGUUAGAUGCUUGAAAGGAGCAAUUGCUUCACUAGUAGAUGGACCUGCGUUGUAUUAGCUAGUUGGUGAGGUAACGGCUCACCAAGGCGACGAUACAUAGCCGACCUGAGAGGGUGAUCGGCCACACUGGGACUGAGACACGGCCCAGACUCCUACGGGAGGCAGCAGUAGGGAAUCUUCGGCAAUGGGGGCAACCCUGACCGAGCAACGCCGCGUGAGUGAAGAAGGUUUUCGGAUCGUAAAGCUCUGUUGUAAGAGAAGAACGUGUGUGAGAGUGGAAAGUUCACACAGUGACGGUAACUUACCAGAAAGGGACGGCUAACUACGUGCCAGCAGCCGCGGUAAUACGUAGGUCCCGAGCGUUGUCCGGAUUUAUUGGGCGUAAAGCGAGCGCAGGCGGUUUAAUAAGUCUGAAGUUAAAGGCAGUGGCUUAACCAUUGUUCGCUUUGGAAACUGUU